UACGUAGGGUGCAAGCGUUGUCCGGAAUUAUUGGGCGUAAAGAGCUUGUAGGCGGUUUGUCGCGUCUGCUGUGAAAUUUCGGGGCUCAACCCCGAACUUGCAGUGGGUACGGGCAGACUAGAGUGUGGUAGGGGAGACUGGAAUUCCUGGUGUAGCGGUGAAAUGCGCAGAUAUCUGGAGGAACACCGGUGGCGAAGGCGGCAUCCUGGACCGACAUUGACGCUGAGGCGCGAAAGCCAGGGGAGCAAACGGG
Molecule: ribosomal RNA, 253 nt
Filed under: uncultured bacterium
Lineage: Bacteria
Description: partial 16S ribosomal RNA
Rfam family: Bacterial small subunit ribosomal RNA
Source: RNAcentral